GAUGAACGCUGGCGGCGUGCCUAAUACAUGCAAGUCGAGCGAACGGACGAGAAGCUUGCUUCUCUGAUGUUAGCGGCGGACGGGUGAGUAACACGUGGAUAACCUACCUAUAAGACUGGGAUAACUUCGGGAAACCGUAGCUAAUACCGGCUAAUAUUUUGAACCGCAUGGUUCAAAAGUGAAAGACGGUCUUGCUGUCACUUAUAGAUGGAUCCGCGCUGCAUUAGCUAGUUGGUAAGGUAACGGCUUACCAAGGCAACGAUGCAUAGCCGACCUGAGAGGGUGAUCGGCCACACUGGAACUGAGACACGGUCCAGACUCCUACGGGAGGCAGCAGUAGGGAAUCUUCCGCAAUGGGCGAAAGCCUGACGGAGCAACGCCGCGUGAGUGAUGAAGGUCUUCGGAUCGUAAAACUCUGUUAUUAGGGAAGAACAUAUGUGUAAGUAACUGUGCGCAGCUUGACGGUACCUAAUCAGAAAGCCACGGCUAACUACGUG
This 497-nucleotide ribosomal RNA is filed under the name uncultured bacterium. RNAcentral's name for it is "partial 16S ribosomal RNA". It matches the Rfam family "Bacterial small subunit ribosomal RNA", at positions 28 to 507 of the family's 1533-position model. The record is from RNAcentral.